AUUGAACGCUGGCGGCAUGCUUUACACAUGCAAGUCGAACGGUAACAGGGUGCUUGCACCGCUGACGAGUGGCGAACGGGUGAGUAAUGUAUCGGAACGUACCGUGUAAUGGGGGAUAACGCAUCGAAAGGUGUGCUAAUACCGCAUACGCCCUGAGGGGGAAAGUGGGGGACCGAAAGGCCUCACGUUAUACGAGCGGCCGAUAUCUGAUUAGCUAGUUGGUGAGGUAAAGGCUCACCAAGGCGACGAUCAGUAGCGGGUCUGAGAGGAUGAUCGGCCACACUGGGACUGAGACACGGCCCAGACUCCUACGGGAGGCAGCAGUGGGGAAUUUUGGACAAUGGGGGCAACCCUGAUCCAGCCAUGCCGCGUGAGUGAGGAAGGCCUUCGGGUUGUAAAGCUCUUUUGUUUGGGAGCAAGGCCUGAGCAUUAAUACUGCUUGGGAUUGAGAGUACCAAAAGAAUAAGCACCGGCUAACUACGUGCCAGCCGCCGCCGUAA
This 500-nucleotide ribosomal RNA is filed under the name uncultured bacterium. RNAcentral's name for it is "partial 16S ribosomal RNA". It matches the Rfam family "Bacterial small subunit ribosomal RNA", at positions 30 to 523 of the family's 1533-position model. The record is from RNAcentral.